This 590-nucleotide long non-coding RNA is filed under the name Sus scrofa (pig). RNAcentral describes it as "lncRNA (ENSSSCG00015060526.1)". The record is from RNAcentral. Lineage: Eukaryota; Metazoa; Chordata; Mammalia; Artiodactyla; Suidae.
UCAUUAUACAGCUACAGAGGUGAUAAAUUCAUUGCAGUAAAAAAUAAAUUAAUUGAAAAAAAAAGCCGGUUGGGUAAUUCAUUUCAAAAGUGCCUCCUUGAUGUUGUGUCCUUAAUCUUGAGUUUAUUGUAUUUACUGGUGCCAACAUGAGAGAAUAUCUCUAUCAACUUUGUACCUUCUUUCAUUUUUCUGUCCUCAAGGUACUUUAUGACCCAGGCUGCCUUCUGGAUCAGAAAGAUACUGGAAGCUGUAAAACACACAAAGCCAGGCUUUGUUAUCACCUGCAUGUACGGAAGGACACCGGUCCUGAGUGUGAGCCUCCUCGGGCCCCGGUCACGUCUCCUCCGUCUUUCCCCACCGCGGUCGCCUGGGUCCAUCCCUGGACAGAGGAUGAAGGAAGCCAGCGUGCAAGCAGGCUGCCUGGAGCCAGCUGCCCAAGCUUGGAGAAAGAAUCAGCUGAAAUGAACUGUUCCUUGAAAACGAGAGCAUUCUGGAGAAGGGAGCGAUGAGGAGGAGCUCCUACCCCCUGGGCACUGAAACCCAUCUCACCCAUGCCUGGUUCCUGUAAUGGACGAACUUGAUGCUAAUGG